This 620-nucleotide ribosomal RNA is filed under the name uncultured bacterium. Its description in RNAcentral is "bacterial SSU rRNA". The stretch from base 1 to 518 matches the Rfam family "Bacterial small subunit ribosomal RNA", at positions 338 to 873 of the family's 1533-position model. The record is from RNAcentral.
CCUACGGGAGGCAGCAGUGGGGAAUCUUGCGCAAUGGGCGAAAGCCUGACGCAGCCAUGCCGCGUGAAUGAUGAAGGUCUUAGGAUUGUAAAAUUCUUUCACCGGGGACGAUAAUGACGGUACCCGGAGAAGAAGCCCCGGCUAACUUCGUGCCAGCAGCCGCGGUAAUACGAAGGGGGCUAGCGUUGCUCGGAAUUACUGGGCGUAAAGGGAGCGUAGGCGGAUAGUUUAGUCAGAGGUGAAAGCCCAGGGCUCAACCUUGGAAUUGCCUUUGAUACUGGCUAUCUUGAGUAUGGGAGAGGUAUGCGGAACUCCGAGUGUAGAGGUGAAAUUCGUAGAUAUUCGGAAGAACACCAGUGGCGAAGGCGGCAUACUGGCCCAUUACUGACGCUGAGGCUCGAAAGCGUGGGGAGCAAACAGGAUUAGAUACCCUGGUAGUCCACGCUGUAAACGAUGAGUGNUAGUGUCGCAUGCAUGCAUGUCGGUGACGCGAGCUACGACAUAAGACGACGUCCGCCGUCGGGGUAGGGUACGGUCGGCGAAGUAAAGUUAAAACGUUAAAAGGUUAAAGUUAGUUACGGACGUGAGACGUUGCCGACGGACGACGACGAGGGAGGAGG